GAAAAUGAAUCUAAGAAAUUGUAUCUUUCAUUAAAUUGUAAAUGUUUAAAUGGUUAGUAUAAAAAAUGAUUAGAUAAACAAAAAUUGGUUUGCAACUAAUCGAUAUGACAAGCAGCUGAUAUCCCUACAAAAAGAAUUGUCUUUCAGUUUUAACUUGCAUUUUGUCCGGGAACUCCUUUUCUGGUAAGUUGGGAAUGUCAGUGCAUACAGUCUAUUGAAAACAUGGAGUUCAAUCUGCACUGGUACAAUAUGUUUUCUGCUGUGCUAUGCGGGAUCUGCCUUGCUUGAUCAGACAAGCAGUGUGUUUAGCAACAUAUUUGGUCAUUGACCAUCAUCAAUCAUUGCAAUGUUGAUUAAAGGGAUUUCAGCUCAUAAGGAAAGUUUCUUUCCAUAUCAGCUGAUAAUAUGUUUAUGCGUAGAAGCAUGAAAAUUUCAACCUUUUUUCCCUCAGAAGUCUUGGCAUCUGUUUCUACAAGUUUUGGAUGUAUUUUGUUACCUGCCUUUAUUCAUAGAAUCAUAGAAUCAUAGAAUCGUAAGGGUUGGAAAGGACCUUAAGAUCAUCUAGUUCCAACCCCCCUGCCAUGGGCAGGGACACCUUGCCCUAAACCAUGUGGCUCAAGGCUCUGUCCAACCUGGCCUUGAACACCGCCAGGGAUGGAGCAUCCACAACCUCCCUGGGCAACCCAUUCCAGUCCUUCACCACCCUCACUGUAAAGAACUUCUUCCUUAUAUCUAAUCUAAACUUCCUCUGUUUAAGUUUGAACCCAUUACCCCUUGUCCUACCACUACAGUCAUGUUUUCUAUAAAAAAUUUACAGCUUUUCCUUUGAACCCCUAUAAGCUUGUGCCAUUUUGGCAUACCUAUUUAUAUGAGUAGGGUGUGGGGGGGAGGGUUUCUGCCUGUAGGAGAUGACUAUGUAGGUUCUUCCGAGUUCUGUCUAAACCAAUGUAGAUAGAAUGAUUUUGUGAGCACCUUUCAAGUUUUGUCUCUGCAGGCUGGACUGAUGAAAUCGUUGUUAGAAUUAAUAAAAUAUUUUGUGAU
RNAcentral lists this long non-coding RNA (1041 nucleotides) under Strigops habroptila (Kakapo). Its description in RNAcentral is "lncRNA (ENSSHBG00005004660.1)". Lineage: Eukaryota; Metazoa; Chordata; Aves; Psittaciformes; Psittacidae. The record is from RNAcentral.